CAGUCGCCACGGGAAUACGUAGGGUGCAAGCGUUAAUCGGAAUUACUGGGCGUAAAGCGUGCGCAGGCGGUUCUAUAAGACAGAUGUGAAAUCCCCGGGCUCAACCUGGGAACUGCAUUUGUGACUGUAGAGCUGGAGUGCGGCAGAGGGGGAUGGAAUUCCGCGUGUAGCAGUGAAAUGCGUAGAUAUGCGGAGGAACACCGAUGGCGAAGGCAAUCCCCUGGGCCUGCACUGACGCUCAUGCACGAAAGCGUGGGGAGCAAACAGGAUUAGAUACCCGAGUAGUCCCUGUCUCUUAUAC
Molecule: ribosomal RNA, 301 nt
Filed under: uncultured bacterium
Lineage: Bacteria
Description: partial 16S ribosomal RNA
Rfam family: Bacterial small subunit ribosomal RNA
Source: RNAcentral